AGAGGAGUGGCCAAGUGGUAAGGCGUUGAUCUCGUAAACCAAAGAUCAUGGGUUCAAUUCCCAUCCACGCCUUGA
Molecule: transfer RNA, 75 nt
Filed under: Pleuronectes platessa (European plaice)
Lineage: Eukaryota; Metazoa; Chordata; Actinopteri; Pleuronectiformes; Pleuronectidae
Description: tRNA-Thr
Rfam family: tRNA (bases 7-65)
About the family: Transfer RNA (tRNA) molecules are approximately 80 nucleotides in length. Their secondary structure includes four short double-helical elements and three loops (D, anti-codon, and T loops).
Source: RNAcentral